Long non-coding RNA from Hemicordylus capensis (graceful crag lizard), 577 nucleotides. RefSeq lists it as uncharacterized. Lineage: Eukaryota; Metazoa; Chordata; Lepidosauria; Squamata; Cordylidae. The transcript has 2 exons. The record is from RefSeq and is a predicted model, not a curated record.
AUUUGAGCAUGCGUGGCAGCCUUCAAAAUGGCCACCACUCCAAUGUUUGCAGGCCCAAAAGUCAGCCUGGGAUGGGCUAUGGCGAUGUCAUAAUGUAAUGCCAGAGCUGCUGCAUCAUCCUUCUACAUGCUGAGAUGUGUCUAGGAAUCCCAGUGAAGCUCAUCAGUGCUGCUCCUCAAACUGCUGAAUAGGAUGCUGUUCAAUGAUGUGAGGCACCCUUUGCUCUGUCCCUUGAGCUCACAUUCCAAGAUGAAAUCUCCCAGGUGGCGAUGCAGAGCAGGAUGUUGCCUGUCCAGCCAAAUGUUAGCAUUUUCGAUGUUGUCCAAAUGCUCUUAUCUGUUGUUUCCUGUCCUUUUUAAAUGAUGUAUUAUAUUUUUCUUCUUCAAAAAUCUGUUUAUGCCUUGAAGCAGUCUUGCUGCUGUUUUUGCCACUAUACAGGAUUUUCUUAGAGCUUAAGUAUGAUAACAUGUCUUGUAGAGGAUAUUGUAUUAUUACUGUGCAUAUCUGUGCGAGACAUUACAUUGGAAACUGCAAGACUGUAGGUUUGUAAUUUAUAAAGCUAUGUUAGGUACUUAUA